This is a non-coding RNA of Ostreococcus tauri, 73 nucleotides long. The record is from Rfam. NCBI's taxonomy places the organism in Eukaryota, Viridiplantae, Chlorophyta, Mamiellophyceae, Mamiellales, Bathycoccaceae.
GGGGACGUACUUCAAUUGGCAGAAUGUAUGCUUUGCACGCAUAAAGUUACCGGUUCAAAUCCGGUCGUCUCCA